This 589-nucleotide ribosomal RNA is filed under the name uncultured bacterium. RNAcentral's name for it is "bacterial SSU rRNA". It matches the Rfam family "Bacterial small subunit ribosomal RNA", at positions 56 to 642 of the family's 1533-position model. The record is from RNAcentral.
UGCAAGUCGAACGGUAACAUUUCUAGCUUGCUAGAAGAUGACGAGUGGCGGACGGGUGAGUAAUGCUUGGGAACUUGCCUUUGCGAGGGGGAUAACAGUUGGAAACGACUGCUAAUACCGCAUAAUGUCUUCGGACCAAACGGGGCUUAGGCUCCGGCGCAAAGAGAGGCCCAAGUGAGAUUAGCUAGUUGGUAAGGUAACGGCUUACCAAGGCGACGAUCUCUAGCUGUUCUGAGAGGAAGAUCAGCCACACUGGGACUGAGACACGGCCCAGACUCCUACGGGAGGCAGCAGUGGGGAAUAUUGCACAAUGGGGGAAACCCUGAUGCAGCCAUGCCGCGUGUGUGAAGAAGGCCUUCGGGUUGUAAAGCACUUUCAGUUGUGAGGAAAAGUUAGUAGUUAAUACCUGCUAGCCGUGACGUUNACAACAGAAGAAGCACCGGCUAACUCCGUGCCAGCAGCCGCGGUAAUACGGAGGGUGCGAGCGUUAAUCGGAAUUACUGGGCGUAAAGCGCACGCAGGCGGUUUGUUAAGCUAGAUGUGAAAGCCCCGGGCUCAACCUGGGAUGGUCAUUUAGAACUGGCAGACU